UAAGCGGAGGAAAAGAAACUAACUAGGAUUCCCUUAGUAACGGCGAGUGAACCGGGAUGAGCUCAAAUUUAAAAUCUGGCGUCUUUCAGGCGUCCGAGUUGUAAUCUAUAGAGGCGUUUUCCGCGCCGGACCGCGUCCAAGUCUCUUGGAAUAGAGUAUCAAAGAGGGUGACAAUCCCGUACUUGACGCGACAACCGGUGCUCUGUGAUACGUUCUCAAUGAGUCGAGUUGUUUGGGAAUGCAGCUCUAAAUGGGUGGUAAAUUCCAUCUAAGGCUAAAUAUUGGCGAGAGACCGAUAGCGAACAAGUACCGUGAGGGAAAGAUGAAAAGCACUUUGGAAAGAGAGUUAAACAGCACGUGAAAUUGUUAAAAGGGAAACGAUUGAAGUCAGUCGUGUGGGAAGUAUUCAGCCGUCUCUGGCGGUGUAUUUGCUUCUCACGGGUCAACAUCAGUUUGAUCCGGUAGAAAAAGGCGGGAAGAAGGUGGCAUCCUCGGGUGUGUUAUAGCUUCCUGUCAUAUGUGCCGGACCAGACUGAGGAACGCAGCUUGCAGCAAUGCCGGGGUUCGCCCACGUACAAGCUUAGGAUGUUGACAUAAUGGCUUUAA
RNAcentral lists this ribosomal RNA (606 nucleotides) under Vishniacozyma carnescens. Its description in RNAcentral is "partial large subunit ribosomal RNA". It matches the Rfam family "Eukaryotic large subunit ribosomal RNA", at positions 47 to 643 of the family's 3401-position model. Lineage: Eukaryota; Fungi; Basidiomycota; Tremellomycetes; Tremellales; Bulleribasidiaceae. The record is from RNAcentral.